This 155-nucleotide ribosomal RNA is filed under the name Triticum aestivum (bread wheat). Lineage: Eukaryota; Viridiplantae; Streptophyta; Magnoliopsida; Poales; Poaceae. The record is from RNAcentral.
AUGCGAUCAUACCAGCACUAAAGCACCGGAUCCCAUCUGAACUCCGAAGUUAAGCGUGCUUGGGCGAGAGUAGUACUAGGAUGGGUGACCUCAUGGGAAGUCGGGCGAGAGUAGUACUAGGAUGGGUGACCUCCUGGGAAGUCCUCGUGUUGCAU